AUACAAGGAUUGGGUUUGGCAUUUUUAGAAGAUUUUUUUACGGAAGAAGAUCAAGUUUUUUCUUUGAUGUUCAGCAAAACAACUCUUUUUUCUUUCUGUGGAUCACACAUUGAGCGUAUUUAGUAUUUGGAUAUUAUGUGUAUCAAUGACCUGGUCAACCCUCUUAAUUAA
This 171-nucleotide ribosomal RNA is filed under the name Triticum aestivum (bread wheat). RNAcentral's name for it is "partial small subunit ribosomal RNA". Lineage: Eukaryota; Viridiplantae; Streptophyta; Magnoliopsida; Poales; Poaceae. The record is from RNAcentral.